GCUCUGGUGGCCUAGUGGUUAGAGCGUCCGCCUCGGAUGCGGGAGGUCGUGGGUUCGAACACAAACCAAGUCAUAACA
This is a non-coding RNA of Potamilus streckersoni, 78 nucleotides long. Lineage: Eukaryota; Metazoa; Mollusca; Bivalvia; Unionida; Unionidae. The record is from the annotation of a GenBank genome assembly.